UAUUCCCUCCGUUUGCGCCUACCUAUUCCUCCCCUCGCUCCCUCGAACACAGCGCGGACGUCAUCCUCAUCGCCAUAGGCCGCAAGUUGAGAGGAUAAUUCGACGGCGUAGUACCUCUGGUGUCGGGUCUAGGGCUUGGCCUAUCGUGUGCCUAGAGCUUGGUGCACUGCGGGGUCGUCGUUGGCGAGGCACUUGUCAUCGUGGACAGGCAGACCCUACCGACGCGCUCAUCUACGGUGAGUCGGUUUCCUCCUAUGCAAUAUCUUGGGG
RNAcentral lists this long non-coding RNA (270 nucleotides) under Zea mays. Its description in RNAcentral is "long non-coding RNA NONZMAT001644". The record is from RNAcentral. Lineage: Eukaryota; Viridiplantae; Streptophyta; Magnoliopsida; Poales; Poaceae.